UGGGUCCUUCACUUUUAAGCCACGGAGGAGACAGAAAACUUGGAGAAAAGAAAGCCUUGAGGAUUAAAAGCAAGAACUUCUGGAAAACUUUCUUUUACCUGACAGAAUGAUGUCUAUACAGAAAAAUAUGCCUUUGGAAGAAGAAAACAAGGAUUUGCAACAGCACCCGGGAUUCCUCUUAACAGCUGCAACUUCUGGUGUCCCAGGACUGUGCAAGAAUCCUGACCCUCGGCUGAGCAAAACAAAAUUUUCUACACCCUUACUCUGCAAAGAAAGCCCCCACGUUCUGAUACCAGACUACCAGGAGAGCAGGAAACACCCAUAAAUACUACUUUAUUUUUCCCUCUUCUCUUCCUCUUUGGCAGUCACAGAAAUUUAAAGCAAAUGUCGUGGUGAAUUCUGCUACAAGACUUUCAUGCUACUGAACCUUCUCCUGGGCAGUUUAGCUGACUUGUAAACACUUCUCAUGCUUCUGGAUAAAUUCCAUGAAAUCAGAAUUAUCUUCUUUCUAAUUAGCAACUUUUUACAGUCUUAAAAAUUAUCUAUGGAAUGUAAGAUGUCUCCUUCUUCUAAUAUAUCUUUUUUUUUUUUUUUCCUGAAUGUUGGUAAAGCGGCAAACCAAUCAUCAGCUGCUACGAUUUCAGCUGUUAAUGACCCACCACAUAAAAAGCUUAUUAGUUUUAUAGGAUACUACUCUCAAUGAUGGAGAUUAAUCUCACUGAGUAGAGAUUACAGGUUUCCUCAGUGCCUCCUCCCAGGGCAAGGCAGGAAUGGAGUUUUCCUACUUACUCUGUCCCAGAAAGCCUGACAACUGGCCAGCAUGCCCACAGUAGCCUGACAGUGACUGCCCUGAGUGACUCACUACGUCACAGAAGGAGAGGUGGAGGCUUGUGGGGUAAGGAUGGGAUUUGGGUAAAGACUUUGGGGAAAUAUUCUGUGAGUGAAUAACUGAAAAAAAGGUUAUAUUUAACCUGUUAGAGUCAACACAUUGCUAAUUUUGCUGCUGCGGCCACUCCUACUGUUGCCAGUGUUAUAGAAAAACAGCUACUGCUGGAGGCGACCCUCCCCUGGCAGAGAAUCUUCGAAUCAUUGAAUGUCCUGAGUUGCAAGGGACCCACAAGGAUCAUUGAGUCCAACUCUUGUCCCCGCAUAGGGCAAUCCCAAAAUUCACACCAUGUGUCUCAGGACAUUGUCCAGUCUCUCCUUGAAGACUGUCAGGCUUGGGGCCCCUCCUGGGGAGCCUGUUCCAGUGUCCAGCACCCUUGGGGUGAAGAACCUUUUCCUCAUGUCCAACCUAAACCUCCCCUGGCACAUCUUCCUGCCAUUCCCUCAGGUUCAGUUACUGGUCACCAGAGAGACGAGCUCAGCCCUGCCCCUCCUCCUCCCCUUGUGAGGAAGCUGUGGCUGCCAUGAGCUCUCCCCUCAAUCUCCUCUUCUCCAGGCUGAACAAACCCAGUGACUUUAGCUUCUGCUCAUAUGGCUUCCCCUCUAAACCCUUCACCAACUUUAUGUGCCUCUUCUGGACACUCUCCAGAAGCUUAGUAUCUUUUAUAUCCUGUAGCUCCCAGAACUGCACACAGUGCUCCAGGUGAGGCUGCACCAGUGCAGAGCAGAGCGGGACAGUCCCCUCCCUUGCCAGGCUGGCAAUGCUGUGCUUGAAGCACCCCAGGACACGGUUGCCCUCUUGGCUGCCAUCAAUGAUUUGGACAAGGGAACAGAGUGUACUAUUAGCAAGUUUGCUGAUGACACGAAGCUGGGAGGAGUGGCUGACACACCAGAAGGCUGUGCUGCCAUCCAGAGACCUGGACAUGAUGGAGAGAUGGGCAGGGAAAAAUCUAGUGAAAUAUAACAAGGGAAAGUGUAGAAUCUUGCAUCUGGGUAGGAACAACCCCAGGUUACAGUAUAAAUUGGGGAAUGACCUAUUAUAGUGCAGCGUAGGGGAAAGGGACCUGGGGGUCCUGGUGGACAGCAGGAUGACCAUGAGCCAGCACUGUGCCCUUGUGGCCAAGAAGGCCGAUGGCAUCCUGGGGUGGAUUAGAAGGGGGGUGGUUAGUAGGUCGAGAGAGGUUCUCUUUCCCCUCUACUCUGCUCUGGUGAGACCACACCUGAAAUAUUGUGUCCAGUUCUGGGCCCCUCAGUUCCAGAAGGACAGGGAACUGCUGGAGAGAGUCCAGCACAGGGCAAUGAUGAUGAUGAAGGGAGUAGAGCAUCUCCCUUAUGAGGAAAGGCUGAGGGAGCUGGGGCUCUUUAGCUUGGAGGAGACUGAGGGGUGACCUUAUCAAUGCUUACAAAUACAUAAAGGGUGAGUGUCACGAGGAUGGAGUCAGGCUCUUCUUGGUGACAAUCAACAAUAGGACAAGGGGUAAUGGAUUCAAAUUGGAACACAAGAAGUUCCACUUCAAUUUGAGAAGAAACUUCUUCUCAGUAAGGGUAUCAAAACACUGGAACAGGCUGCCCUGGAGGGUUGUGGAGUCUCCUGCUCUGGAGAUAUUCAAGACCUGCCUGAACACAUUCCUGUGUAGCCUCAUCUAAGUGUUCCUGCUCUGGCAUGGGGAUUGGACUAGAUGACCUCUUGAGGUCCCUUCCAAUUCCUAACUUUCUGUGAUUCUGUGACACUGUUGGCUCAUGUUCAACUUGCCGUCAACCAGAACCCCCGGAUCCCUCUCCGCAGAACUGUUCUCCAGCAUCUCAUCUCCCAGUCUGUAUGUACAGCCAGGGGUGCCAUGUCCUAGGUGCAAAAUCUGGUACUGAUCAGAUCCAGCCUGUGUCACUGUCACAGGCUGCAAUGGUGUAGGUCAUCCCCCUGACCAUGGGAUGUCAGGGCUGGCUUGCACUCUUCUCCCAGACUACUUAUUUCUGCUUCUCUCUUUUCUGUGGGGCGAGAGAAGACUCACUUGCCCUUGCAGGGACACAGAAGGUGAAUUAUAUAGUGAUAUUUCUGGAACAAUGCACUUAUGAGAAGCAAGAACAUGGCUGAAGUUGUUGAUACGGUGACAAAAAUAAGAUAUAAGGGAAAGAGCUGGAAGUGUUCUGGUAUGGACACUUAAUGGACCUCAGAAGUCUUUGGAGCACUGUGGGAAAAAGUAGAGAAGAGAAAGUACUUGGGUAGGGUGGGACACAGGGAGGGUUAGGCAUGUUAUGAGAAAGUGUGGAGCUGCAGGAGGCCACAGUCAUUGCCAUCUCUGUGUGUGGUGAUGGGAAGAUGUUCUGCCGUACUUCAUGCUGAGAUGUCCCAAUGCUGUAGUCAUCAAGCCCUACUUACUGCAAACUGCUUCACAGCAGAACAAAUAUUUCCAAACUAGAGUGUAUCUGACAAAGCUUUCCUUUCUUUAGAUUUCUGAUUAUUUGCAGUUCAACUUGCUUCAGUCCUCCAACUGUCUCUAUAGAUAGUGCCGUUCACAUUGAAUGAAGACUCCAAUAUGAUUCAAUCUAUACUGUUAAAGAAAUGAAAUCAGGUUCCAUUUCCUGGUCCAGAGGCCAGCUGCAGGACCUGGUCAGAGCCUUAAUACUAAAUUUCUCUUCUCAGACUGAAUACCUAUCUCUAAAUAAUUCUUGACUCCCAAUCUACAUCUAAUACUUGGUUAGGGAAACAUGAGUUGUCCCUGAUCAAAAGCAUGCCAGGGACUCUGUACAGAGAAUGGGGAUCCACUGUCCUGCCCUGCCUACCUUCUGGCACAGUGUUUUUACUAAUAUAGAUGCAGCCUGAAGGUCAUCCCAAGGUUAUCACAAAAAAGUUUUGGUUAGAAAAGACCUUAAAAAUCAUCAAGUCCAACUGUCAACAUAAUACUGUCAAGUUCACCUCUAAACCGUGUCCUUAAGAACCUCAUCUUGUUCCACAUAGUCAUCCUGAGCAGAUCUCUUUCUCUCAGUUGAUCCAUCUCUCUUUCCUGUGUAACUUUAGGUAUUUAUCUGAGGUGUCUAAUCAUCCUAAGCUCCCAUGGUAACCAGAGAGAAAGGCAAAUGCACUAGCUUGUCUAUCUGGAGAUCUAUAGGUGUCUGCCUCCUUCAGUUGACUUAGAGGGACCUCAAGAAGACAACUUCAGUUGUAGACAACUCACUUAUGCCAAGUGGGAUGAGUCCAGGUGUGUGUAAAUAAAGACCAGGAUUACCUCCUCAGAAUUGUCUCAUUGACUGAGGUAAGGACUUGUGCUGAAGCCAAGGAGACAGCUGGCAAAGCUGAAUUUCCACACCAUGAAGUGGUCAAGCAGAUUGUCACAUUUUGGCUGUUACGCGUUGGGGUUGUCUCCAAGGAGUACUCUGAGACCUUAUAAAAAUAUGUGUUGAUAUGAAGAGAAAGUUGUCAUGCACUUGAGUUAUUACUGCUAGGAGGACUGCUUGCUCCAUGCCAACAGCUAGAAGAGAUGCCCUUGCAUAGUAAAGAGAGCAAUAUCUGAUUAGCGGGGAAUAAAACCCUGGCGUCAGCAGAUCAUACAAAUGUUAUGGUUGCAAGCUGCCAAGAAGCUUGUCAUCAAUUAAUUUUCUUGCAAACCAUUCCACGGAAAAUUCUUCUUUGCCUUUGGCACUAGCAGAACAAUGGCAGCAGAUUUUAUUACUUCUGGAACAGGAGAAUGGCAGCUGGUUUGUCCAAGCAGACUUGCCAGCAGCCCAGAUGAAGGCAGGGUGUAUUCCUAUAUUUCCUCUCUGCUUCCAGGGCUCUCAGGUAUGAACUGAGUAAAACAGUAAACAAAAUGCUCAUUCUCACUAUUGACCCUUUUAUCUCUUUUUAUCUUUCUUUUGGCACAGGCAAUUGUGAGACCUUUCUCAACUUCUUUUCACAGAUUUGCUUGUUCAGGUGUAACUUUCUUCUGUGGCAUCUACUCGCUGGUGGCAGGGUGCUCAGUGACACACGCCCGUGUCCCCUGACACUUGAUGACCGCAGUGAUUCCUGCAGUGUGGCAGGAAACCCAGUCCCAGCUUUGCUGUGAACAAUUGCAUUUCUGUGACCCCAGUUUUGCCUGCAAACGCAAAGAGCUUAGUGCUGGUCAGUUGGCCCUGAGCUUGCCUUAAACAAAAGACAAAUUUCUGUAGGAAAUCACAAGUUCUUGGUCAAAAGAAGUGACAAUUUUAAGUUCCUGGGCUACAAGGUUGAACAACACAUACUGUAAAAUACAAGUAUAGAAGUUACUGAAGACAAGGUUCAAGGAAGACAAGACAUUUUCUAACCUAUACAGGCACAGUUUGACUUGAAUACCUACUCAAAGAUGAAGCUAAUCAAAAUAAGCUAUCUGCAAACCUUUCUAUUGUGGUUAUGUUUAGUAAUUUUUAUCUCUGUUUUUGCAGUAUCCCAUCACGUCUCAAUAAUCCUUCUUAUCCACCUCUUAUUUUUUACUGAUAAAGAUGAAUUACUUUUGCAUUGUUGGUAAAUGUUCAUCAUUCACAAGAGUGUUUUGGGCUUAUUAGAGAGUAGAUUUGGAUUGAUGAGGUAUCUUGUUGGGAAAAUUUUUCUAUCAUUCUUUCAGGCAGCUGAUUGAAUCUUGCCAUUAUAUUUUACUGUGUUUGCUCUCUUGUACCAUAAAGGUUGGGUUUGGUUUGCUAUAAAUUUAUAGAGUAGAAAUGUAACUAACUAACAUUUUUUGUAGGAACACAUAGUUCUUUCUCCCCCUGUUCUUAGGAGUUGGCUUUAAAGAUGCCUUUUAAAUGAAUAAACCAAGUGAGAUGAGACAAAGUGGGAGAACAGAGAAUUACUGUCUUGUUUGGGGAUUAUGUCACUCAUCUGGGACCAAAUCCAGUGACAUCUCAAUUCCAUCACUGAUUCAACAAAUAUUGUCCAGGCAGACUAAUGGUGCAUAGAUAGGCACUGUCUCACUGAGCAUGUGCUGGACGAUGAACCAAGUGGGCACUGAUGCUCUCAGGCAGACAACAGAAUUAACCCUGGACCUGGAUCUAAGCAACUGUAGGUGCUCUUUCCAUUGAUCUACUGGCAGGAAAGAGAUGCUUUUCAUCAUUUGUUAAACACUUCUUGUCUAAAAAAGUGCUUUGAUUCAGGUUGAACUGAGCAUUUUAUAUAAAAGUAUUUUUUUUUUCCAGCAUUUUGGCAAGAAAAGAGUGGUGAGUUAGAUGCAGGUUUUUUAGACUGAGACUCCCCACCUUGAUCCUGAAUUUUACAAAUCCAUGAAGAAGUUGUCCUACAGAAAAUCCUUUGGUGUUUAAAUGUAAGUUGAUAGACUUCAAAGAAACUUUGAAAAGAACUUCAAAUAAAUAUUUAGAGGACUGUAAGAAGAACCCCAAUAUUUAUCUGUCAGAAAACAGCCCCAGUAAACAUUAACUUUCACAUGAAUUUUAGAUGCUCUACUUCAUGCUCUCCUACUGCAACUUCUUACAUGCUCUGCUUGUUCACAUUCAUUUUCCAGUCCAUAAUUAAGCAAAACAGGAAACAACCAGCCUGAUGCUCCCUCAGUUCCCACUCCCAGCUAUUUUCUCUGCAACAUUGUAGAUAGUAAGCCCUGAUACUUCUUGUUUAAUCUUCAAAGACACCAAGCCAAAGACAGGCACCUGAGCUUUCUCUUAAGAAAAAAAACCCUAUUAUUUGGAUCUUAAAAUAGGUGGAAUGGAUCAUCCUCUGAGGACACCUGCCUCACAUCACUGACUAUUGAAGGAGUCUAGAAACCUAAUUUUCAGAUUGCUAGCUGUAGGUGAGAUAACAUAGAGAUUUUAGGCACUCAUAACACUAAAAAUGCAAUUUAAAAAGUAUGUGGACAUCUAAACUGACUGUUAAACAUCGAAGUCAUUUCUCCAUCUAUCUCAAAAGCAUUUUAAAAAUCCUGCUAUGUAUGCACAUGUAGACAUCUUAAUAUUUGUCAUUUUUCCCUUAGACACUUCUGAAAUUUGAUUUAUGCUCCACUUCACAAAUACCACCCUACCAAUUUUCCUGAGAAUUAUUCCAAACUAAAAAUGCUGAGAAAAUACUGACAAUCUAUAUACUUAGAAAAAUGAGUGCAUCAUGAUUAUUUAGUAUUUUUAAAUCUUUCUAGCUGCUGAAAACUUUACUGGAAGCAAACAUAAUUGGGUACAGGUUUCAUGUAAUGAAGUACUAUGAUUAGGAGUCUAUACUAAAAGUCCACCAUGAUAGUACCAGGGAGAAAAAAAAAAGAAAACAAUUGAACACUGUAGACAUUUAACUUAUAUAAUCUUUAGCACAAAAAGCAUUAACAGCAAAGCCUUAGGCUUUGAAAAAUACUAGCCAAUUAUUUUCAUACUAAAUCCUAACGACUUUGGACCUUCACAAAUCAUUUUAUUAAAGACUUCUUUUUGCUUUAAAAAGGCUUUUGCAUUUGGUGUUGUUUCUGUAACCCAAGAGCCUGAUUCAUAUCUCUUUUACAUCAGUGUAGUUUAAUGAUCUCUGCAUUCUGAGUAAGAAUAUAAGUGUUGGGGAAAUCAGGCUGAUAGCAUCAAUGCCAAAUGUGAUUAACUGAGAAAUACUGACCAUGAUAGACAUAGAUGUAGAACGGGGGUGAUCCCCCAAGGACAUGAAUAAUUUCUCAUAAUAGCAAUACUUCCGUUACAAAUUCUAGUACAUAUGCCUCAUAUCACUCUUGCCAAGGUAUGACAAUUACUGAAGAGUGUCAAUUAACAAAAUGACAUUUUCCUAGGAAAGGUACCACACAUUAAAAGACGCAUUUGCCACAUGCAAUACAUAAAAAGCACAUGAAGAGAGACUAAUGAUCUGGCAUCCAUUAUUUAUGGGAAAAUGAAAAUAAAUACAAAUAUCACUAAAAUAUAUUGCUUUAUAUGCCUUUAUAUUAAGUUCAUGCUUCUGCUCCAUCAGGAAAGGAUAUCAUAUUGUUGGAUGUGACCUGUUCUUGACAAAUACAUGUUAACUAUUUCUUAUCAUCUGAUUAUCUUGUCAGUGUUUGCAAAGUGAUUGUUCAACAAUCUUCUCUGUCUUUGCAACUUUCACAGUUAGGUUGCCUGGUUUAUAAGUUUCUGGAUCCUUUUUUUCUCAUCCUCUGGGGCCUGCUCUGGCCUCUUCAAGUUCUAAGGAAAUAACUGCUAAAGUUUACAAGAUUAUUUCAGAUAGUUUAUUGAAUGUUUGGAAAAUAAAUUUAACCAGACUCUACUGUGUUGGAGACAUCUAUCUUACCUGACAAUAUCUGGUUGACCAAAAUCUGAAUUGAUUCAGAUACCUAAACAUAGAUGUCCAGGACUUGAGUAUUCAGGAUAUUUUAGCAUGUCUGAGAGGAUUCAUGCUCUUAGAAAAUUGAACUGUGUCCUGAAAGAGGAAUUUAUUUGAUUUAGACACCCGCAGAAAGGGGGAGGAUUCAGAUCCAGAUUCAGGUACAUAAAUUUCAUUAUCUGCAGUGUAGGUAUGGACCUAGGAGGUAAGUAUUAAUGCAGUGGAAGACUUUUCAAUAGUCAGCAAAAUCUAUAAAAAUAUUCAGCACAUCCUGAAGUGGACAAAUGUAUUUGAUUAACUGAAAAGCUUUCUUGACUAUGUUUGCUUACUAGCGAUGAAACACAGUUAUGCAAACAUAGACAUUCACUGACAUUUCAGAUACCUUUGAGCAUCUGACACAUAGACAAAGGUAUGGCAGGAUGAAACAGGGCCUCUUGUCCUUUUCAUUUGGCAGCUGGAGGCCAGAAAGAGUCUAUCCUGAGACUUCUUAAAUAGCACAAGGUAUCUUUAUUUAAGCAGCUGAAUCCCACUUUUGACCUCUGUUGAUACAAUGGGAACCAAGAAAGCCUUAUUUUAUUCAAAUGUCCCUGGACAGGCAUCUUAUGCCAUUGAAGAUAUCCUAGGGUAGACAGCCUGCUGGAUUUCUAACUGUGAUUGAAGAAAAACAUGUUUUUCCCAUAGGUCUCUAAAAUGAUGUCCCUUAGCAUCAUUCAAGCAGCAGCAGACGUUGUUUAAGCAACUGAAUCAACUUCCUUUAUGUAAGAUAUGUAAACAUUUACUAUUCCUAAGCAUAAUUAUCACAGUAAUAUUAUUCCUACAUAGGUAAAGCUUAUCUUUUGCAAUAAUCCUACUGUACCACUUACUUAAAAUUAUGGUGGCACUAGUGAAAGCCUAGUGGUAACCAUACAGGUCUUGCCUGUUGCUCCCAAGAGGCCAAGGUGGCUUUUAAUCAUCUUGUCACUCUCUUUUAAAGGCUGUAUUUUCAGAUUGAUCUAGAUAUUUUGAUAGUGUUACAGUUGGUGGCAUUUUUAUUCCACCUAUUCAACUGAGAUCAAGUAUGAGUUGUCCAGACAUACCCAUUGUUACACUGGAACACUGCUGCUCAUCUACCACUGUGUAAUAUUGUAGAACUCCAGAUUUAUCCUCUUCUCAGCUUAAAAAAUAGGCUGUAAGCUUAGCUCUAUGUUGUUGUGAUCACUUUGUGUCCUUAUAUAAAGUGAUCAGAAAUAAAGGAUGUAGAAAUUCUCAGUUCCUUUGGUCUGCUUUGACUUCAGUUGUUUGCCAGUGAUCAUUUUAAUGCUCGUUUCCCAUUGAUUGUAUCUCUUAUAUUCACAUAUACUUAGGUUACCCAGCAAAUAUUUCCCUUUAUCUGCACCAGCUGUCAUUCAUUCUCACUAUACUAUGACCUUCUUUGAUAGCUUCUAAAUCUCUUUUUAUAUUUUAUUGAAAAUGAAGACAGGAUAACUUGGAGCUAGAUCCAACUUGCACUGGGGUAUUUUCUUUGACACUGCCUCUGCUAAGUCUGCUACAGGCUGUUGAAACCCAAAUUCUUAAGUCUGUGGGGUACUUCUAUAUCAAUAUAUCUAUAUCAAACAACACCCUGGAAUGGGCACUGCAAAUCUAUUUGGCAUAUUUCUGGUUGCCAGAGGGUUUCCUGGCAUAGUUUUGGUCAGGGCUGAGUAGCAUUCUCACAAAUAGUUCCCAGGCACAGUUUAGGAUGUAUUAUAGACCAGGAAGCAUUCCCAAUAGGAAAUUUGGAUACAGUCACUCUCUUUUGAAGGUUAGGAGAACUGAAACUUAUGGAUGUUAUCAGAUAACGCCAACUGGCCUCCAGGGUGAAAAAUAAACACUGGCACAGUCUUGGUAAUUGACAAAGAUACAGCCAUUGCUUCUAGUGGUUAUUGGGUGCCUAAAACCUUAAGAGAAUGGGAAUUCAAGCUACAAAUUAUAUAUAUAUAUAUAUAUAUAUAUAUAUAUAUAUAUAUAU
Columba livia (rock pigeon) is the source of this 10100-nucleotide long non-coding RNA. RefSeq lists it as uncharacterized. The transcript is spliced from 3 exons. The record is from RefSeq and is a predicted model, not a curated record. NCBI's taxonomy places the organism in Eukaryota, Metazoa, Chordata, Aves, Columbiformes, Columbidae.